RNAcentral lists this ribosomal RNA (252 nucleotides) under uncultured bacterium. Its description in RNAcentral is "partial 16S ribosomal RNA". It matches the Rfam family "Bacterial small subunit ribosomal RNA", at positions 524 to 776 of the family's 1533-position model. The record is from RNAcentral.
UACGAAGGGGGCUAGCGUUGCUCGGAUUUACUGGGCGUAAAGGGCGCGUAGGCGGACAGUUAAGUUGGGGGUGAAAGCCCGGGGCUCAACCUCGGAACUGCCUUCAAUACUGGCUGUCUUGAGUGUGAGAGAGGUGUGUGGAACUCCGAGUGUAGAGGUGAAAUUCGUAGAUAUUCGGAAGAACACCAGUGGCGAAGGCGACACACUGGCUCACUACUGACGCUGAGGCGCGAAAGCGUGGGAGCAAACAGG